UUUCGUUGCAAUUUCGUUGUCUUUUUUAUUCUCAAUGUGCAGCUACGCAAUGUGUUGAAGUGUAAUAAUGUUGAAAAGUAGCAGCACUGAACUAUUCCGGCAGUUAGUACAAAUCAUCAUUUUUAAUUGCUUUGAUCUAAUAACAUCGAAAACUAUGAGCGAAACACAUUUGAAGGUUCUUUGCUUGUCUAAAAACGAACACUACUACUUUUAGUACCCCUUCAGAUCAAAGGGCAGGGACCAUUGGUGAUUAAUAACUGCAUACCUUAAUUAGAAUUGUUGACACCUAACUAAGUUGCUUAGUUGAGCUUUGGAGUUCAUUUUAGUUUGAGAUGAAAGAAAACUAAUUAUUUUAAGUCUUUGUUUAUUUAGUUGAUACCACAAAGUAAUACAUCCAUUUUAUUGUGCUGGAGUAUAGAGAGAAGGGGAUUAUUGUGUUCGGUCUGGUCUAUGAAGAGAGAUGGGGGUUAUUGUCAUUCACUUCAGUUAGGUUCAGUUAGGAAUACCUAAAGAUUUUAGUGCUAAUAAUGUUAUUCCAGUACAUAACUAAUUUGGCAGUGACCAAAUUUGUGGUCAUACACUCUGCAUUCUCAACAUCAAGGUACUCUAAUUCUAGGACAACUAAUUUGUGGCCAUACACUAAGGUUCUAGAGUAUAACAUCAGUGUAGUUUCUCUACAUACGCAGGCAAGCUCCAAUUUUAGGAGGACUAAUUUGAACUUUGAAUGAGUUUAACAAAACAAGCUAGCAUGAGUAUAACUUGUUGAGAAAAAUACUCGUACUAGUAAACUUUCAAGUUUACAUGGCUGGUUAGCAUUCUUUCUUAAACAUGGAUGCCUAGCUAUGUUCUAAAGAGUAUAAGGCCAUGCUUGGAAUGGAUGUAUCUUGAUAUGGAGGUGUAUAACUUACACGUGUAACUUACUAGCCACUGUGCAAAUUCCAGCCGGAAAUGAAACGACGUGCUCAGGCGUGUAUUUUUUUACAAGGAUAUUUAAAAGAGAAUAGAUGAUCCAAACAGGGCCUAAAAUGCAUUGCUAUUGGGAGUAGUUUCGGUCAAAUGCUACUCUGGUAUUGCUUAGGAGUAUUUGUAGGGUUCUAGAGCGACCAGUAGAUGGCCUAUUUCUUUCUAUUGAUAUGGACAAUAUCUUAUCUAGCCAAAGUUUCCCUCCUUACAAAAUCUCCUUGUAACUCAGACGACUAGAAAUAUGAAUUUGUUUAAAUAGUGUUGUUCACUGGAUAGAUUCUGUUUAGCACAAGUUGUGAUGGAUAUGGAUUUGCUACUAAUGAUUCACUAUUUCUAGGGUUCUAGAGUGCUAUGUGUUCUGCCUAUAUGGUGGAGUAGUUGUAUCUUAUCUAGCCAAAUUUUGGGUGCUCCACAUAAGCCGUGUUAGCAAUUGACCAAAAGUAAAGCCCUUGUGACUAUAUUUUUCACACAAAGCAAGUACCUAGAGUUCCAUCUUCCAUGCACUAGCCUAACUCAAUGCAGGGAAGGACAGUGGUGCCUCAUAAUGUCACUCCAUUGCCCAUGGGGGAUUUUCAUUGCCCCAGUGCAUGUAGAUGCAGGGGCAGGAGGGAAAGAUACAAAAGCUCUUUUUAACUAGCUGUAAGGCAGUGUGCAAUGCAAGACCUGCAUUAGUUAGUGGAUGAGGGCGCAAGACCAGCUUCAGGGUUUAUGGCUUAAGCCAAGAGGAGAAAGAAAGGGCUCUGCAUAUGAAAAGAUACCAACAUUAUUGUUUCCAUGAAAUUGGUUGGAAGAAAAGAAGAAGAUCCAGAGAAGAUCUUAGUAAUAAGAUUGGUUUUAGGAAAAUAGAUAUUUAGUUUUAGGUCAUUUCUUCUAAUUUCAGAUAUGGAGUGCUUGUCUUUAGUUUUUGUUUUGACUUUGUGAAACUUGCUAACUAUGGAUGAAACUGUGUAAUAUGAUGAAACUAUGUAUAUGUAUGGAUGAAACUUGCUACUA
This is a non-coding RNA of Aegilops tauschii subsp. strangulata, 1956 nucleotides long. Lineage: Eukaryota; Viridiplantae; Streptophyta; Magnoliopsida; Poales; Poaceae. The record is from RefSeq and is a predicted model, not a curated record.